RNAcentral lists this ribosomal RNA (482 nucleotides) under uncultured bacterium. RNAcentral's name for it is "bacterial SSU rRNA". It matches the Rfam family "Bacterial small subunit ribosomal RNA", at positions 17 to 518 of the family's 1533-position model. The record is from RNAcentral.
UCAUGGCUCAGGAUGAACGCUGGCGGCGUGCUUAAUACAUGCAAGUCGGACGGAGAUGUAGCAAUACGAUCUUAGUGGCGAACGGGUGAGUAACGCGUGGUGACCUGCCCCGAAGAGAGGGAUAACAGAUCGAAAGGUCUGCUAAUACCACAUGUGGUCUAUUUGGUUAGAGGCGAAUAGACUGAAGGAGCAAUCCGCUUCGGGAGGGGCCUGCGUCCCAUCAGCUAGUUGGUAGGGUAAAGGCCUACCAAGGCGACGACGGGUAGGGGACCUGAGAGGGUGACCCCCCACACUGGCACUGAAACACGGGCCAGACACCUACGGGUGGCAGCAGUAGGGAAUAUUGCACAAUGGGCGAAAGCCUGAUGCAAGCAACGCCGCGUGCGCGAUGAAGGCCUUCGGGUUGUAAAGCGCUUUUCUGGAGGACGAGCAAGGACGGUACUCCAGGAAUAAGGCUCGGCUAACUACGUGCCAGCCGCUGC